This 309-nucleotide ribosomal RNA is filed under the name uncultured bacterium. RNAcentral's name for it is "partial 16S ribosomal RNA". It matches the Rfam family "Bacterial small subunit ribosomal RNA", at positions 504 to 807 of the family's 1533-position model. The record is from RNAcentral.
AGAGACAGCAGUAGCCACGGUAAUACGUAGGGUGCAAGCGUUAAUCGGAAUUACUGGGCGUAAAGCGCGCGUAGGUGGUUUGUUAAGUUGGAUGUGAAAUCCCCGGGCUCAACCUGGGAACUGCAUCCAAAACUGGCAGGCUAGAGUAGGGCAGAGGGUGGUGGAAUUUCCUGUGUAGCGGUGAAAUGCGUAGAUAUAGGAAGGAACACCAGUGGAGAAGGCGACCACCUGGGCUCAUACUGACACUGAGGUGCGAAAGCGUGGGGAGCAAACAGGAUUAGAUACCCCUGUAGUCCCUGUCUCUUAUAC